UACGUAUGGAGCAAGCGUUAUCCGGAUUUACUGGGUGUAAAGGGAGUGUAGGUGGUAUCACAAGUCAGAAGUGAAAGCCCGGGGCUCAACCCCGGGACUGCUUUUGAAACUGUGGAACUGGAGUGCAGGAGGGGUAAGUGGAAUUCCUAGUGUAGCGGUGAAAUGCGUAGAUAUUAGGAGGAACACCAGUGGCGAAGGCGGCUUACUGGACUGUAACUGACACUGAGGCUCGAAAGCGUGGGGAGCAAACAGG
Molecule: ribosomal RNA, 253 nt
Filed under: [Lactobacillus] rogosae
Lineage: Bacteria; Bacillati; Bacillota; Clostridia; Lachnospirales; Lachnospiraceae
Description: Lactobacillus rogosae partial 16S ribosomal RNA
Rfam family: Bacterial small subunit ribosomal RNA
Source: RNAcentral